GACGAACGCUGGCGGCGUGCUUAACACAUGCAAGUCGAACGGAAAGGCCCUGCUUUUGUGGGGUGCUCGAGUGGCGAACGGGUGAGUAACACGUGAGUAACCUGCCCUUGACUUUGGGAUAACUUCAGGAAACUGGGGCUAAUACCGGAUAGGAGCUCCUGCUGCAUGGUGGGGGUUGGAAAGUUUCGGCGGCUGGGGAUGGACUCGCGGCUUAUCAGCAUGUUGGUGGGGUAGUGGCUUACCAAGGCUUUGACGGGUAGCCGGCCUGAGAGGGUGACCGGCCACAUUGGGACUGAGAUACGGCCCAGACUCCUACGGGAGGCAGCAGUGGGGAAUAUUGCACAAUGGGCGGAAGCCUGAUGCAGCAACGCCGCGUGCGGGAUGACGGCCUUCGGGUUGUAAACCGCUUUCGCCUGUGACGAAGCGUGAGUGACGGUAAUGGGUAAAGAAGCACCGGCUAACUACGUG
This 468-nucleotide ribosomal RNA is filed under the name uncultured bacterium. RNAcentral describes it as "partial 16S ribosomal RNA". It matches the Rfam family "Bacterial small subunit ribosomal RNA", at positions 28 to 507 of the family's 1533-position model. The record is from RNAcentral.